AAGGUUUGACAUGGAGGGCAAAGUUGAAGAAAUUCAACGGAGGUUAUCCCGACACAGGUGGUGCAUGGUCGUCGUCAGUUCGUGCUGUGAAGCAUAUGCUUAAGUGCUAUAACGAACGCAACCCUCGUAUUUAGUUACUAUCAUUCAGUUGAGAACUCUAAAUAGACUGCUAAGGUAACUUAGAGGAAGGUAGAGGAUGACGUCUGAUCAUCAUGCCCCUUAUAUUCGUUGGGUA
RNAcentral lists this ribosomal RNA (235 nucleotides) under uncultured bacterium. Its description in RNAcentral is "partial 16S ribosomal RNA". It matches the Rfam family "Bacterial small subunit ribosomal RNA", at positions 979 to 1207 of the family's 1533-position model. The record is from RNAcentral.